ACAAGAUGGAGGAAGGUGGGGAGUGACGUCAAGUCAUCAUGGCCCUUAUGUCCAGGGCGACACACGUGCUACAAUGGCCGGCACAGCGGGAAGCGAGGCAGUGAUGCCAAGCGGAUCCCUUAAAGACCGGUCUCAGUUCGGAUUGAAGUCUGCAACUCGACUUCAUGAAGCUGGAAUCGCUAGUAAUCGCAGAUCAGCCAAGCUGCGGUGAAUACGUUCCCGGGCCGUU
Molecule: ribosomal RNA, 229 nt
Filed under: uncultured Thermanaerovibrio sp.
Lineage: Bacteria; Thermotogati; Synergistota; Synergistia; Synergistales; Synergistaceae
Description: partial 16S ribosomal RNA
Rfam family: Bacterial small subunit ribosomal RNA
Source: RNAcentral